AGCAUGCAGCACGUUCAUGGGAAUUAAUUAGAAGUGAGCUGUACAUUCUUAAUUCCGUCCUAAGCAAAAAGGAAAAAAGCUUAACCCACGCUGAGGAGGAACCAUUGCAUGUGACGAUCUCACAUGCGUGUCUGAACGCUAACCGCCAAAUCAGCACCUUACACGUGGCAAUUGCAGGAGAGGUUUCUCUAUAUAUAUCAAGUAUAGGGAGGAUGAGUUUCUCUCACAGAAGCAGAAGCAGAAUUGUCUGAGAGAGUUGUUGAAGUUUCUGAUAAUUGUUCCCAUUAGGCUAAUUGAAAGGGUUUAUCUGAAGAAAAAACAAGUGAAAAUGGCUGAUGAGAGUACUGCAACUUGCAUAGAUAUCCUCUUGGCCAUCCUCUUGCCUCCUCUUGGUGUCUUCCUUAAGUAUGGCUGCAAGGUUGAGUUUUGGAUCUGUUUGGUCCUUACCCUUUUCGGGUACCUUCCCGGGAUUAUAUAUGCAGUCUAUGCCAUCACCAAGUGAUGAUCUUCAUCUUCAGUGGAAAGCUCUAAUCAUGUUUUUUGUUGAAGACGUCUGUUUUGAUGUAGUCAGAUGGAUCAUUCUUGUGUUUGUGUCCUCUUUUUUUCAAGAAUUUUCUUUUUAUUUGAUCUAUUAAUUUGCUGUAAGAAGGUUAUUGCAAUUGGAUUUGAGUCGUUUCUUGGGUAGGACAAUGGCUUGUCAACUAUCAGUUGCUGUUAGUGUCUCUUCAAAUUUGUUUUAAAUGUGAUUGUAUUAUUAUUAUUAUUGUCAUCUUGGUGGUAUUUCUUUAUUACAGUAAUGUCAUAUAUAUAUAUAUAUAUAUU
This 822-nucleotide unclassified non-coding RNA is filed under the name Hevea brasiliensis (rubber tree). Lineage: Eukaryota; Viridiplantae; Streptophyta; Magnoliopsida; Malpighiales; Euphorbiaceae. The record is from RNAcentral.